Molecule: ribosomal RNA, 492 nt
Filed under: uncultured bacterium
Lineage: Bacteria
Description: partial 16S ribosomal RNA
Rfam family: Bacterial small subunit ribosomal RNA
Source: RNAcentral
AGUGAACGCUGGCGGUAGGCCUAACACAUGCAAGUCGAACGGCAGCACAGUAAGAGCUUGCUCUUACGGGUGGCGAGUGGCGGACGGGUGAGGAAUACAUCGGAAUCUACUUUUUCGUGGGGGAUAACGUAGGGAAACUUACGCUAAUACCGCAUACGACCUACGGGUGAAAGCAGGGGAUCUUCGGACCUUGCGCGAUUGAAUGAGCCGAUGUCGGAUUAGCUAGUUGGCGGGGUAAAGGCCCACCAAGGCGACGAUCCGUAGCUGGUCUGAGAGGAUGAUCAGCCACACUGGAACUGAGACACGGUGCAGACUCCUACGGGAGGCAGCAGUGGGGAAUAUUGGACAAUGGGCGCAAGCCUGAUCCAGCCAUACCGCGGGGGUGAAGAAGGCCUUCGGGUUGUAAAGCCCUUUUGUUCGGAAAGAAAAGCAGCAGGUUAAUACCCCGCUGUUCUGACGGUACCCAAAGAAUAAGCACCGGCUAACUUCGUG